Molecule: long non-coding RNA, 336 nt
Filed under: Bos taurus (domestic cattle)
Lineage: Eukaryota; Metazoa; Chordata; Mammalia; Artiodactyla; Bovidae
Description: long non-coding RNA NONBTAT019716
Source: RNAcentral
CCACAGGCCACAGUCCUGUGGGCCACAAUGACCCUAUCCCCAGCACUGGAAAUAAGAACACUUCUUAACUAACCUGUUUGAUUUGUAAAGAAAGGGUGUGCCAACCAAGAAUGCAGGUUUCCUUUUCUUUAGAAGCCUACUGAAUGUUGUGAUUGUCAGGAGCAGAACUUGGGGAGGGAGAAAGGAAUAAGGAAAGAGGAAUCAAGGCUUGGAUAAUGAAUGGGCAUAAGGUAGCAAGACAGGUUAUUCCUAUCUCGGGAAUCUCACUGAGGAGGAAGGGGAGAAUAGGAUUGAAGCUUUCCUGAGGUGUCUCCAAUGGUAUAAUGCUUGUCUCUC